AGAGUUUGAUCAUGGCUCAGAAUGAACGCUGGCGGCGUGCUUAACACAUGCAAGUCGAACGAUGAACCUAGCUUGCUAGGGGAUUAGUGGCGCACGGGUGAGUAAUAUAUAGAUAACGUGCCUCUUAGUCUAGGAUAGCCAUUGGAAACGAUGAUUAAUACUGGAUAUUCCUUCUCCUUAUAAUUGGAGUUGGGAAAGUUUUUCGCUAAGAGAUCGGUCUAUAUCCCAUCAGCUUGUUGGUAGUGUAAGAGACUACCAAGGCUAUGACGGGUAGCGGGUUUGAGAGGAUGAUCCGCCACACUGGUACUGAGACACGGACCAGACUCCUACGGGAGGCAGCAGUGAGGAAUAUUGCACAAUGGAGGAAACUCUGAUGCAGCAACGCCGCGUGGAGGAUGACGCAUUUCGGUGUGUAAACUCCUUUUAUGAGUCAAGAAAAUGACGGUAGCUCAUGAAUAAGCACCGGCUAACUCCGUGCCAGCAGCCGCGGUAAUACGGAGGGUGCAAGCGUUAUUCGGAAUCACUGGGCGUAAAGGACGCGUAGGCGGGAAGCCAAGUCUGAUGUGAAAUCCUAUGGCUCAACCAUAGAACUGCAUUGGAAACUGGUUACCUAGAGUAUGGGAGGGGGAGAUGGAAUUAGUGGUGUAGGGGUAAAAUCCGUAGAUAUCACUAGGAAUACC
This 680-nucleotide ribosomal RNA is filed under the name uncultured bacterium. RNAcentral's name for it is "bacterial SSU rRNA". It matches the Rfam family "Bacterial small subunit ribosomal RNA", at positions 8 to 710 of the family's 1533-position model. The record is from RNAcentral.